Non-coding RNA from Pelobates cultripes (western spadefoot toad), 203 nucleotides. Lineage: Eukaryota; Metazoa; Chordata; Amphibia; Anura; Pelobatidae. The record is from the annotation of a GenBank genome assembly.
CUCAUUUCGUGCAUCCUUUAAGUGAGGCAUGCUUACACAAGGCUUUAUUUAUGUAAGCAGCAAUGAUAUAUAUGCAUGAACAUCUUGAGAAGCAUUUGAUGGAUUGCAUAACUUCAUUAGGAAUUAAUCUCAUUCUAUCCAGAGCUGGGAACCGUUCACACAAUGCUAGCCAAUAUGGCUUAAUAAUGUGCUAAAUAGAUCCA